UAGGGAAUCUUCGGCAAUGGACGAAAGUCUGACCGAGCAACGCCGCGUGAGUGAAGAAGGUUUUCGGAUCGUAAAACCCUGUUGUUAGAGAAGAACAAGGACGUUAGUAACUGAACGUCCCCUGACGGUAUCUAACCAGAAAGCCACGGCUAACUACGUGCCAGCAGCCGCGGUAAUACGUAGGUGGCAAGCGUUGUCCGGAUUUAUUGGGCGUAAAGCGAGCGCAGGCGGUUUCUUAAGUCUGAUGUGAAAGCCCCCGGCUCAACCGGGGAGGGUCAUUGGAAACUGGGAGACUUGAGUGCAGAAGAGGAGAGUGGAAUUCCAUGUGUAGCGGUGAAAUGCGUAGAUAUAUGGAGGAACACCAGUGGCGAAGGCGGCUCUCUGGUCUGUAACUGACGCUGAGGCUCGAAAGCGUGGGGAGCAAACAGG
RNAcentral lists this ribosomal RNA (429 nucleotides) under Chloroflexota bacterium. Its description in RNAcentral is "Chloroflexi bacterium partial 16S ribosomal RNA". It matches the Rfam family "Bacterial small subunit ribosomal RNA", at positions 355 to 776 of the family's 1533-position model. Lineage: Bacteria; Bacillati; Chloroflexota. The record is from RNAcentral. RNAcentral also lists the same sequence under 1 other name.